CCUACGGGAGGCAGCAGUGAGGAAUAUUGGUCAAUGGACGAGAGUCUGAACCAGCCAAGUAGCGUGAAGGAUGACUGCCCUAUGGGUUGUAAACUUCUUUUAUAUGGGAAUAAAACGUUCCACGUGUGGGAUUUUGUAUGUACCAUAUGAAUAAGGAUCAGCUAACUCCGUGCCAGCAGCCGCGGUAAUACGGAGGAUCCGAGCGUUAUCCGGAUUUAUUGGGUUUAAAGGGAGCGUAGGUGGAUUGUUAAGUCAGCUGUGAAAGUUUGCGGCUCAACCGUAAAAUUGCAGUUGAAACUGGCAGUCUUGAGUACAGUAGAGGUGGGCGGAAUUCGUGGUGUAGCGGUGAAAUGCUUAGAUAUCACGAAGAACUCCGAUUGCGAAGGCAGUUCACUGGACUGCAACUGACACUGAGGCUCGAAAGUGUGGGUAUCAAACAGGAUUAGAUACCCUGGUAGUC
RNAcentral lists this ribosomal RNA (460 nucleotides) under uncultured bacterium. Its description in RNAcentral is "partial 16S ribosomal RNA". It matches the Rfam family "Bacterial small subunit ribosomal RNA", at positions 338 to 795 of the family's 1533-position model. The record is from RNAcentral.